GAUGGCGGGAGGGGAAGAGCCUGGGAGGGGGCGGGUCAGUGUCUGCCAUGGGACACUGCCAGAGGCGGAGAUAUUGAGAAUAUUAAUAUUCAUUGAGGUCUAGGCUCAGGCUGAAGACGUAAUAUGAGACUGGUGGAUUCUUGUUCCGUAGGACUCUUGUUACCCCUGAAGGGGUGGGACUGUACGUGAACUAGCUGGAGAACUGAAUCACAAGUAGUACACUGCUGCAAAAACUGUUUGCAGGGUGUGCUGGAAGAGAAGACCCUGCUAUGCCAUUCUGGAUUGUGCUGGCUGAGCCAGUUCGGCUAGGUGAGACUGAACUGGACUCCAUGGGACUCAGUGCAGGAGCAAGGGUCUGCCCGCACACAAGACGCAGGAUCAGAGCCCUCAUCCUAAGAAGCUACAUGUACAGGUUUGUAUCCAC
This 424-nucleotide long non-coding RNA is filed under the name Gopherus evgoodei (Goodes thornscrub tortoise). RNAcentral's name for it is "lncRNA (ENSGEVG00005018334.1)". Lineage: Eukaryota; Metazoa; Chordata; Testudines; Testudinidae. The record is from RNAcentral.